This 547-nucleotide ribosomal RNA is filed under the name uncultured bacterium. RNAcentral's name for it is "bacterial SSU rRNA". It matches the Rfam family "Bacterial small subunit ribosomal RNA", at positions 355 to 896 of the family's 1533-position model. The record is from RNAcentral.
UAGGGAAUUUUUCACAAUGAGCGAAAGCUUGAUGGAGCAAUGCCGCGUGAACGAUGAAGGUCUUUAAGAUUGUAAAGUUCUUUUAUUUGGGAAGAAUGACUUUAGCAGGUAAUGGCUAGAGUUUGACUGUACCAUUUUGAAUAAGUGACGACUAACUAUGUGCCAGCAGUCGCGGUAAUACAUAGGUCGCAAGCGUUAUCCGGAUUUAUUGGGCGUAAAGCAAGCGCAGGCGGAUUGAAAAGUCUGGUGUUAAAGGCAGCUGCUUAACAGUUGUAUGCAUUGGAAACUAUUAAUCUAGAGUGUGGUAGGGAGUUUUGGAAUUUCAUGUGGAGCGGUGAAAUGCGUAGAUAUAUGAAGGAACACCAGUGGCGAAGGCGAAAACUUAGGUCAUUACUGACGCUUAGGCUUGAAAGUGUGGGGAGCAAAUAGGAUUAGAUACCCUAGUAGUCCACACCGUAAACGAUAGAUACUAGCUGUCGGGGCGAUCCCCUCGGUAGUGAAGUUAACACAUUAAGUAUCUCGCCUGGGUAGUACAUUCGCAAGAAUG